UCCGCCUGCAAACAGCAGACAGACGCAGACAUUGUGAACGCUGCAUGUUGUUGGCAGUUUGGUUGUUGCUGCUAGUUGCCGUGUGAGGUGAUGAGGAGAUGGUGCCAAGUGCUGCAUUAAUUUUAAAAUUUUUGUCUGACACUGUCAGCGGUGUUUACACUCAUUUGCAAGUCGCCAAGCCAAGGCAGCGCAGCCGGAGUUAGAGUUUCAGUCUGGCAGUAGUAUUUGCAUUUGCCUUCUUGCUUGCCUUCGUUUGCAAAGCCGAAAAUUCGUCAAGUAAAUUUUAUGAAAGGCCAACACAAAUUGUCAUAGGCUGUGCACGUGUCUGUCGUGCAGCUGCUGCGAGUUGUGCGUGUAACAGACGAGGCUGGAUAAUUUCUGAAAGUAACAAAAAGAAAUCAAACUGGCAUGAAGCACUUUGGAAGCAAAAGUUAUUUUAACAAAACUGGAAGGAAAAAUUAUUUAUGACGAGCUGAAGUUGGGAAGAGGAGUGGAAUGGACAAUAGGUAACAGACGAGGCUGGAUAAUUUCUGAAAGUAACAAAAAGAAAUCAAACUGGCAUGAAGCACUUUGGAAGCAAAAGUUAUUUUAACAAAACUGGAAGGAAAAAUUAUUUACGACGAACUGAAGUUGGGAAGAGGAGUGGAAUGGACAAUAGGUAACAGACGAGGCUGGAUAAUUUCUGAAAGUAACAAAAAGAAACCAAACUGACAUGAAGCACAUUGGAAGCAAAAGUUAAAUUAACAAAACUGGAAGGAAAAAUUAUUUACGACGAGCUGAAGUUGGGAAGAGGAGUGGAAUGGACAAUAGUAACAGACUCGAGUAGAUAAUUUCUGAAACCCAAAAAGAAAUCAUGUUGAAAUGAAACUCAUUGGAAGCAAAGAUAUAAUAACAAAACUGAAAGGAAAAAUUGUGUAUGUGCUAUCUGAAGUCAGGAUGAGAGGCGUUGUUGAAUUUUUAAAAGUUGCGGGCUUUAGCUCGAUUUCCAGCAAAACUACACGUCCUAUAUGAAAAAGUUAUAUGUCAAAAUUGUAGUUAAUGAGAAGAUCUACAACUUUGGUAUGAACAUCUUUUAAGGAUAACAUCACAAUUUAUGUGAAAAUGCAAAUACUCCAGUUUUUGGGUGUUUUAUUUUUUUCUGGCGCAAAUUUCAUUCUUUCAGAUAGUUGAAAGUGAAGGCAAGGAUGCUGCAGUAGUUCUCCCACGAAUGGGGGUCUAAGUAAACCGAACGAACUGGGAUUUUUAUUCGACCAAGAACGGUCAACUCGGCAGCAUGCUUCGAAUUGCUUCAGCGUGCCUCGAAUUACUUCAGCAAACUUUUCUGAUGUUACACAGCAGCAACUAUUUCUGCUUAUUCAAGGAUACAAAUAAGUAUAUAGCACCGCUUCCACGACAGUUGGCUCUACAUAAUCGGAAGGGACCUGGAUUUUUAUCAUUUUUCUCCGGCCAAUGUCAGCAGCAUGCCUCCAAAUCAGUGCAAUGAUGUUUUUUGCUGCUACAGAUACAAGUUUUUUCUCUAAAGCGCUGCCCUGGUGUACUGCAAACCGAAAUACUUACCAAUAGAUAUAUUUUUAGACUGCUAUUUCUUACAUUUUAACUAUUAUGAACAUAUAAUUACAGUAAAUUCUCAAUAAAAAUAAAAAUAUAUAUAGCUGAAAGCCUAAAA
Long non-coding RNA from Bactrocera neohumeralis, 1666 nucleotides. RefSeq lists it as uncharacterized. Lineage: Eukaryota; Metazoa; Arthropoda; Insecta; Diptera; Tephritidae. The record is from RefSeq and is a predicted model, not a curated record. The transcript is spliced from 6 exons.